CAAAAACAUCGCCUCUUGAAACACUUAAGCAUAAGAGGUCCCGCCUGCCCGGUGACUAUGAGUUCAACGGCCGCGGUAUUCUGACCGUGCAAAGGUAGCGCAAUCACUUGUUUUUUAAAUGAAGACCUGUAUGAAUGGCACCACGAGGGCUUAACUGUCUCCUUUUUCCCGUCAAUGAAAUUGAUCUCCCCGUGCAGAAGCGGGGAUUAACCCAUAAGACGAGAAGACCCUAUGGAGCUUCAGGCUCCAGAACAGACUAUGUUAAAUACCUGACAUAAAAGACAAAACCUAUUAGAUCCUGUUCUAAUGCCUUUGGUUGGGGCGACCGCGGGGAAACAAAAAACCCCCAUGUGGACUAGGAGCACAACCCUCCCACAACCCAGAGUAACAACUCUAAGUAACAGAAUAUCUGACCAACAAAUGAUCCGGCACAGCCGAUCAACGGACCGAGUUACCCUAGGGAUAACAGCGCAAUCCCCUUCUAGAGCCCAUAUCGACAAGGGGGUUUACGACCUCGAUGUUGGAUCAGGACAUCCUAUUGGUGCAGCCGCUAUUAAGGGUUCGUUUGUUCAACGAUUAAAGUCCUACGUGAUCUGAGUU
RNAcentral lists this ribosomal RNA (600 nucleotides) under Krobia sp. Xingu. RNAcentral's name for it is "partial 16S ribosomal RNA". It matches the Rfam family "Bacterial large subunit ribosomal RNA", at positions 1808 to 2611 of the family's 2925-position model. The record is from RNAcentral. Lineage: Eukaryota; Metazoa; Chordata; Actinopteri; Cichliformes; Cichlidae.